Long non-coding RNA from Sarcophilus harrisii (Tasmanian devil), 764 nucleotides. RefSeq lists it as uncharacterized. The transcript is spliced from 2 exons. NCBI's taxonomy places the organism in Eukaryota, Metazoa, Chordata, Mammalia, Dasyuromorphia, Dasyuridae. The record is from RefSeq and is a predicted model, not a curated record.
AAACAGUUGCUGGGGAAUGGAGGGGUGUGGUGAGGACCUCGGCCCUAGGCCCAGUCUAACUAUGUGGUCUCUGUGCUGAGGUGGGCAGGGACACAGGAAUUAAAGCUACAGUCUUCAAGGAAUAGAGGAUUUAGUGGGAACUGAAGGCCCUUCUCAGGCCACAGCGCCGCCGAGGACUUCCAGCCCUCAGGUGACAGGAGGAAUCCCAUCGCCUUUCUGGGACUCCAAAUCCCACCUAGGGAUGCCAGAAGGGUGGGUCAUGAAGACAACAGAGUGAGGCUGCUGAAUGUAAUCAAGGAGAGAAGCAAUUGAUUUUCUUUGUAGGCAGACUAAUCUCUAGGACUCAAGAUUUUCUGUACCAGCACAACAGAGUGAUUUCCUCAUUUUUUUCUGGACACUUAACCGAAGAUGGAAUGUAAGAACCCGUCAGCUCACAUCCCUUAUAUUUAUCUGUACAGCACUGACUGAGGAUUAGGAUGUUUUCAAAUCCAUUAUAUUGACAGAUCUCCCCAACUCCCUAAAAAUUCCUAUUCUGCAUUUGGGGAAACUGAGGCAGAGAUUUACACUCAAUUUAUACUCAAAAUAGACAACUUCAGAUCUUGACUUUGCUUCUUACUGUGUGACUUCUGUGGAUGGAGGAAAGGCAAGUCAUUUAACCUCAAUUUCGUCAUCUAUAGAAUAUGAGGAUUGGAAAACUCCUUUUUGAGGUGCCUUCUAGUCCCUGUAAUUCAUGAUUCUUGGGGCCCAGAGAAAUUCAGUGAUUU